This 65-nucleotide non-coding RNA is filed under the name unclassified sequences. The record is from RNAcentral.
CGGUAAUAGAGUUGCAGGGUGGUGUCUCCUGCGCCCGUCAGAUGACGGGUUCUUCCCAGCCACGG